GCCCCGGUAGCUUAGUGGGAGAGCGCCGCCGUGGUAAGGCGGGGGUCGCAGAGCGCCCGAAACCCGGGUUCGAUUCCCGGCCGGGGCUCCA
This 91-nucleotide transfer RNA is filed under the name Thermofilum sp. RNAcentral describes it as "tRNA-Thr". It matches the Rfam family "tRNA". From Rfam's summary of the family: Transfer RNA (tRNA) molecules are approximately 80 nucleotides in length. The record is from RNAcentral. Lineage: Archaea; Thermoproteati; Thermoproteota; Thermoprotei; Thermofilales; Thermofilaceae.